CCCCUAGAUGUUCUGGGCCGCACGCGCGCUACACUGAACAGUUCAACAAGUCUUAACCUUGGCCGAUAGGUCUGGGUAAUCUUUGAACGCUGUUCGUGAUUGGGAUAGACCUUUGCAAUUAUGGGUCUUCAACGAGGAAUUCCUAGUAAACGCAAGUCAUCAGCUUGCAUUGAUUACGUCCCUGCCCUUUGUACACACCGCCCGUCGCUCCUACCGAUGGGGUGAUCCGGUGAAUGAUUCGGACUUCCGCAAGGCUGGCGACCAGUUUUUGCGGAGGAAAGUCUUGUGAACCUUAUCACUUGGAGGAAGGAGAAGUCGUAACA
This 323-nucleotide ribosomal RNA is filed under the name uncultured eukaryote. Its description in RNAcentral is "partial 18S ribosomal RNA". It matches the Rfam family "Eukaryotic small subunit ribosomal RNA", at positions 1470 to 1796 of the family's 1831-position model. The record is from RNAcentral.